This 253-nucleotide ribosomal RNA is filed under the name uncultured bacterium. RNAcentral describes it as "partial 16S ribosomal RNA". It matches the Rfam family "Bacterial small subunit ribosomal RNA", at positions 524 to 776 of the family's 1533-position model. The record is from RNAcentral.
UACGUAGGGGGCAAGCGUUGUCCGGAUUUACUGGGCGUAAAGCGCGUGUAGGCGGCUGGGUAGGUCCGUUGUGAAAACUCGAGGCUCAACCUCGAGACGUCGAUGGAAACCAUCUGGCUAGAGUCCGGAAGAGGAGAGUGGAAUUCCUGGUGUAGCGGUGAAAUGCGCAGAUAUCAGGAAGAACACCCGUGGCGAAGGCGGUUCUCUGGGACGGUACUGACGCUGAGACGCGAAAGCGUGGGGAGCGAACAGG